UGUGAUGUUACUUUCGCAAAC
RNAcentral lists this non-coding RNA (21 nucleotides) under Rattus norvegicus (Norway rat). The record is from RNAcentral. Lineage: Eukaryota; Metazoa; Chordata; Mammalia; Rodentia; Muridae.